CAGGUCUUGACAUCCUUAUGCCAUCCCUAGAGAUAGGGCUUUCCCUUCGGGGACAUAAGUGACAGGUGGUGCAUGGUUGUCGUCAGCUCGUGUCGUGAGAUGUUGGGUUAAGUCCCGCAACGAGCGCAACCCUUGAUCUUAGUUGCCAGCAUUUAGUUGGGCACUCUAAGGUGACUGCCGGUGACAAACCGGAGGAAGGUGGGGAUGACGUCAAAUCAUCAUGCCCCUUAUGACCUGGGCUACACACGUGCUACAAUGGAUGGUACAAAGGGCUGCAAAACCGCGAGGUUAAGCGAAUCCCAUAAAACCAUUCUCAGUUCGGAUUGCAGGCUGCAACUCGCCUGCAUGAAGCCGGAAUCGCUAGUAAUCGCGGAUCAGCAUGCCGCGGUGAAUACGUUCCC
This 401-nucleotide ribosomal RNA is filed under the name uncultured soil bacterium. Its description in RNAcentral is "bacterial SSU rRNA". It matches the Rfam family "Bacterial small subunit ribosomal RNA", at positions 975 to 1375 of the family's 1533-position model. The record is from RNAcentral.